RNAcentral lists this ribosomal RNA (253 nucleotides) under uncultured bacterium. Its description in RNAcentral is "partial 16S ribosomal RNA". It matches the Rfam family "Bacterial small subunit ribosomal RNA", at positions 524 to 776 of the family's 1533-position model. The record is from RNAcentral.
UACGUAGGGACCAAGCGUUGUUCGGAUUUACUGGGCGUAAAGGGCGCGUAGGCGGCGUGUUAAGUCACUUGUGAAAUCUCUAAGCUUAACUUAGAACGGUCAAGUGAUACUGAUGUGCUAGAGUGCAGAAGGGGCAACCGGAAUUCUUGGUGUAGCGGUGAAGUGCGUAGAUAUCAAGAGGAACACCUGAGGUGAAGACGGGUUGCUGGGCUGACACUGACGCUGAGGCGCGAAAGCUAGGGUAGCAAACGGG